This 493-nucleotide ribosomal RNA is filed under the name uncultured bacterium. Its description in RNAcentral is "partial 16S ribosomal RNA". It matches the Rfam family "Bacterial small subunit ribosomal RNA", at positions 28 to 507 of the family's 1533-position model. The record is from RNAcentral.
GACGAACGCUGGCGGCGUGCCUAACACAUGCAAGUUGAGCGACGAACCAGGGCUUGCCCUGGGGUAAAGCAGCGAACGGGUGAGUAACACGUGGGUAACUUACCCCGAUAACCGGGACAACCCGAGGAAACUCGGGCUAAUACCGGAAGUGCUCACUGGACUUCGGUUCAGUGCGUAAGGGAAGCUUCGGCCUGCGUAGCGUGAGGGGCACGCGGCCGAUUAGUUUGUUGGUGCGGUAACGGCUCACCAAGCCCGCGAUGGGUAGCUGGUCUGAGAGGACGAUCAGCCACACUGGAACUGAGACACGGCCCAGACUCCUACGGGAGGCAGCAGUGGGGAAUAUUGCGCAAUGGGCGAAAGCGUGACGCAGCAACGCCGCGUGUGGGAAGAAGGCCUUCGGGUUGUAAACCCCUUUCAGGAGGGACGAAGGUUAGGAGGUGAAUAGCUGGCCGGACUGACGGUACCUACACAAGAAGCCCCGGCUAACUACGUG